This 331-nucleotide ribosomal RNA is filed under the name uncultured bacterium. RNAcentral's name for it is "bacterial SSU rRNA". It matches the Rfam family "Bacterial small subunit ribosomal RNA", at positions 568 to 898 of the family's 1533-position model. The record is from RNAcentral.
CGCGUAGGUGGUUGCGUAAGUCAGAUGUGAAAUCCUGAGGCUCAACCUCAGAACUGCAUCUGAUACUGCAUGACUAGAGUGCAGCAGAGGGAAACGGAAUUCCCGGUGUAGAGGUGAAAUUCGUAGAUAUCGGGAGGAACACCGGUGGCGAAGGCGGUUUCCUGGGCUGACACUGACACUGAGGCGCGAAAGCGUGGGUAGCAAACAGGAUUAGAUACCCUGGUAGUCCACGCUGUAAACGGUGAAUACUGGGUGUGGGAGGUGUAAUGCCUUCUGUGCCGAAGCUAACGCGUUAAGUAUUCCGCCUGGGGAGUACGGCCGCAAGGUUGAA